GAAAUGCGAUAAGUAAUGUGAAUUGCAGAAUUCAGUGAAUCAUCGAAUCUUUGAACGCACAUUGCGCCCGCCAGUAUUCUGGCGGGCAUGCCUGUCCGAGCGUCAUUUCAACCAUCAAGCCCCCGAGCUUGUGUUGGGGACCUGCGGCUGCCCGCAGGCCCUGAAAACCAGUGGCGGGCUCGCUGUCACACCGAGCGUAGUAGCAAUCACCUCGCUCAGGGCGUGCUGCGGGUUCCGGCCGUUAAACAGCCUUACAAAACCCAAGGUUGACCUCGGAUCAGGUAGGAAUACCCGCUGAACUUAAGC
This 306-nucleotide unclassified non-coding RNA is filed under the name plant metagenome. Its description in RNAcentral is "partial contains 5.8S ribosomal RNA, internal transcribed spacer 2, and large subunit ribosomal RNA". The stretch from base 1 to 105 matches the Rfam family "5.8S ribosomal RNA", at positions 50 to 154 of the family's 154-position model. The record is from RNAcentral.